UACAGAGGGUGCGAGCGUUAAUCGGAAUUACUGGGCGUAAAGCGUGCGUAGACGGUUUUGUAAGUCGGAUGUGAAAUCCACGGGCUCAACCUGGGAAUUGCAUUCGAGACUGCAAGGCUUGGGUGCGGAAGAGGGAAGCGGAAUUUCCGGUGUAGCGGUGAAAUGCGUAGAUAUCGGAAGGAACACCAGUGGCGAAAGCGGCGUCCUGGUCCGACACCGACGUUCAGGCACGAAAGCGUGGGGAGCAAACAGG
RNAcentral lists this ribosomal RNA (253 nucleotides) under uncultured bacterium. RNAcentral describes it as "partial 16S ribosomal RNA". It matches the Rfam family "Bacterial small subunit ribosomal RNA", at positions 524 to 776 of the family's 1533-position model. The record is from RNAcentral.